AGGAGGUUAAACUUUGCCAGAGCCAUCCCGAGCCUCUGGAGCCAGGGCUGGUGGUGACACUGGGAGGGGGCAGAGAUGGACCUGCCAGGGCUGGGCUUCCUCAAAUGCCGUGGCACGAGGAUUUGAGGAUCUCACCAGGCUUGUGUGACACCAAAUUGCUGCCCCAGGGGCGUUGGAGGUGACUUUUGGAGCGGCCCCUGCCCUCAUCCCGCUCUCCUCCAGCACAUCCAUACCGUGUCCACCCCACUCAGAUGUUCCCCUCCUGUCCUGCCAAAUUUCCAGCUGCUGCAAAUGAAUGUUUAAGUUGCUCUGAGCUCAUUGUCGAGGCAAACAGCUGGCGCUGCUGGAAUAUAGGAUUUCAGCGCUCUGAGUUCAAGGGAAACGGGAAAAAACCCUUUUUUGUGGAGCUCUCAAGGUUUAGCUCCCACCAGGGGCGAGUGGCUUUGUGUCCUGGGCAUUCCGAGUGCCUGAAAAUCCUCCCGAAAUUCCAAUUUCCUGCUCUUUAUUGCUCGGGGAACAUUCAGCCUAAUUGGGGGAGCAGUGGAAGGGGAAUUGCACCAGGAGGAAGAAUCCUCUCCUGGUUGCAGCCAGAAGGUGGAAUCCGCAUCUCCAAACUCUUUUCAACCCUGGGCACGUUGUUCACCAUGACCAAAAUGCUUUCCCUCAAAUGCAGGUGCCGACUCUUGGGUGCAUCCCCAGCACCUCCCCCUCAGCAGGGAGAGUCCAAGGUGGGAAUUGUGCUGGCAGGAUGGGCCCUGGGGUGUUCAAAAAACAAAAGUGGGGGAGAUAAGGAAGGCAAAGGCCACCUUGCCUUGUUUCCAGCAGCCCUGACUGCGUUGUCUCUCCGCUGAACAUCCUGCUCGGCAGCUGAGCCCUCUCCCCAGGGCUUUUCCACACCCCCUCUCCUUCCUGCAGGAGAACGUGGCUCUGCAGAUGGAGGUUGUUUGCUUUGUGGUUACGGAUCCGAGGAGAAAAUAAAA
Molecule: non-coding RNA, 980 nt
Organism: Cyanistes caeruleus (blue tit)
Lineage: Eukaryota; Metazoa; Chordata; Aves; Passeriformes; Paridae
Source: RefSeq, a predicted model, not a curated record